RNAcentral lists this ribosomal RNA (602 nucleotides) under Bacillus mojavensis. Its description in RNAcentral is "bacterial SSU rRNA". It matches the Rfam family "Bacterial small subunit ribosomal RNA", at positions 106 to 693 of the family's 1533-position model. The record is from RNAcentral. Lineage: Bacteria; Bacillati; Bacillota; Bacilli; Caryophanales; Bacillaceae.
GUGAGUAACACGUGGGUAACCUGCCUGUAAGACUGGGAUAACUCCGGGAAACCGGGGCUAAUACCGGAUGCUUGUUUGAACCGCAUGGUUCAAACAUAAAAGGUGGCUUCGGCUACCACUUACAGAUGGACCCGCGGCGCAUUAGCUAGUUGGUGAGGUAACGGCUCACCAAGGCAACGAUGCGUAGCCGACCUGAGAGGGUGAUCGGCCACACUGGGACUGAGACACGGCCCAGACUCCUACGGGAGGCAGCAGUAGGGAAUCUUCCGCAAUGGACGAAAGUCUGACGGAGCAACGCCGCGUGAGUGAUGAAGGUUUUCGGAUCGUAAAGCUCUGUUGUUAGGGAAGAACAAGUACCGUUCGAAUAGGGCGGUACCUUGACGGUACCUAACCAGAAAGCCACGGCUAACUACGUGCCAGCAGCCGCGGUAAUACGUAGGUGGCAAGCGUUGUCCGGAAUUAUUGGGCGUAAAGGGCUCGCAGGCGGUUCCUUAAGUCUGAUGUGAAAGCCCCCGGCUCAACCGGGGAGGGUCAUUGGAAACUGGGGAACUUGAGUGCAGAAGAGGAGAGUGGAAUUCCACGUGUAGCGGUGAAAUGCGUAG